RNAcentral lists this ribosomal RNA (861 nucleotides) under uncultured marine bacterium. RNAcentral's name for it is "bacterial SSU rRNA". It matches the Rfam family "Bacterial small subunit ribosomal RNA", at positions 8 to 916 of the family's 1533-position model. The record is from RNAcentral.
AGAGUUUGAUCCUGGCUCAGAACGAACGCUGGCGGCAGGCCUAACACAUGCAAGUCGAGCGCGCCUUUCGGGUGAGCGGCGGACGGGUUAGUAACGCGUGGGAACGUGCCCUUUCUCUACGGAAUAGCCUCUGGAAACGGAGAGUAAUACCGUAUACACCCUUUGGGGGAAAGAUUUAUCGGAGAAGGAUCGGCCCGCGUUAGAUUAGGUAGUUGGUGGGGUAACGGCCUACCAAGCCUACGAUCUAUAGCUGGUUUUAGAGGAUGAUCAGCAACACUGGGACUGAGACACGGCCCAGACUCCUACGGGAGGCAGCGGUGGGGAAUCUUAGACAAUGGGGGCAACCCUGAUCUAGCCAUGCCGCGUGAGUGAUGAAGGCCUUAGGGUCGUAAAGCUCUUUCGCCUGUGAUGAUAAUGACAGUAGCAGGUAAAGAAACCCCGGCUAACUCCGUGCCAGCAGCCGCGGUAAUACGGAGGGGGUUAGCGUUGUUCGGAAUUACUGGGCGUAAAGCGCGCGUAGGCGGAUUAGAAAGUUGGGGGUGAAAUCCCGGGGCUCAACCCCGGAACUGCCUCCAAAACUGCUAGUCUAGAGUUCGAGAGAGGUGAGUGGAAUUCCGAGUGUAGAGGUGAAAUUCGUAGAUAUUCGGAGGAACACCAGUGGCGAAGGCGGCUCACUGGCUCGAUACUGACGCUGAGGUGCGAAAGUGUGGGGAGCAAACAGGAUUAGAUACCCUGGUAGUCCACACCGUAAACGAUGAAUGCCAGUCGUCGGAUAGUAUACUAUUCGGUGACACACCUAACGGAUUAAGCAUUCCGCCUGGGGAGUACGGUCGCAAGAUUAAAACUCAAAGGAAUUGACGG